UUGGAGAUUUAUGGUUUUCGAUGCUAGGAUUUGGUUCUAAGGUUUAUUUCAAAAUUAUUAUUUCAUAGUAAAAUUUGAUAUUUCAUGAUUGCAGGGCCGGUCCGACGUAUACUACGACCCUAAGCCAAAAUUUUUUUUUUGCCCCACCUUUAUAACUUUUUUCACUCAUCACAGUUGCUUUUUGGUUCAAAAAAAUAAAACAUAAAGCUUUAAAAGCAAACAGAGGUAUCAAAACAGAACAAAAGUAUCAAAAAACAGAACAAAAGUAUUAAAAACAGAACAGAAGUAUCAAAACCAACAAAAACCAAAAGACAUAAGAGAGGAUACAUAAGUUUUAAGCAAACACUACUGAGUAAAUAUGAUCCUGCUUGCAUUUUUCCCUGCAAAGUCAUCCAUCACAGUCGCAUAAUCAAUCUUUUCAAGCAUUGCUCUCUCAAUUGAUAAUAUGGCUAACCCAUUGAGCCUAUCCUGUGACAUGGUGGACCUCAAAUAAUUCUUGAUCAACUUAAGCUUAGAAAAACUUCUUUCGGCUGAAGCAACUGACACUAGAAUA
RNAcentral lists this small RNA (553 nucleotides) under Arabidopsis thaliana (thale cress). RNAcentral's name for it is "ATSL085750". The record is from RNAcentral. Lineage: Eukaryota; Viridiplantae; Streptophyta; Magnoliopsida; Brassicales; Brassicaceae.